GUUUUCCAGCUGUAGCUGAAGGAAAUGGCGCUUUGUGUAUCCCAGAUUCGGCUGAACGCUCAAGGCAGAGAGAAAGGCAGACACAGCAGGAAAGAGGUACACUGCUACUCAGGAAUUAUACACUUGGUGCCGCCAUCAUCCUCAGUAGCAAAAGGCGAGGCAUUAAAGUGGAAAAACGUUGGCCUACAGCUGUGUGCUCUGCUCUUCUGUGCCAUUAGUGCAAUGAAUAUCUUACCAGACUUAUUCUUCUGCACAAUAUGAAGGGAACUUCACCCUGAAGCUAGAAAACAAGAGACAAAAAACCCUGACGGCUGCUUCAGGGGGAGCAGGAACAGGCUUUCUGCCAACUACUAAAUAAAAGUUAAUGCAUAGACUGGAUCAAUUGGCUGAAGGAUCAUGCUACAUACUGGAUCAUUAUACCAGAUGGGUCAUUACUAAACCACCUGCUGUGGGUAUGUCAAGAUGAUGAGAGCACAUUUUAUAAAAUGUCAGAAAUGGACAGAAUGUGUGCAUUCACUGACAGAUCAGUAACCCACUUUCUAUUACAGUAAAUAAAAUGUUUGAGAUGACAUUUCUAUUUGAACAAGGUAAUACACUAAGCCAGAUACACAGAUCUUCACAUCCAGAAGUUUGGUCUGCCCAAUUUGUAGAAGGGGCUGCAACCACGUGGAUGUUCCAUUGUAGCAUUAUGUUAACUGCGUCACAGUAGCAAAUCUUUGCAAACAAAAUUUUGGGAAUAAGUACCUUCUAAUAUAAUCCUGUAUCUGGCAGAAAUUGCAACGACAAGAAAUGAGCCAGCAUUCAAUCUGCAGAGCUGAAAGAUUACAAUGUCCUCAUGCCAGAGUGAGCCUUAAAACAUCAGCUUAAUAGAGAGCCCCCUUCUGACUGCAUUUGUAGGGUCUGUGCAGGAAUAACCUGAUAAAAAAUGUUUCUGCAAUUUAAGCAAAAUAUAAAAAUCCUAACAAGCAA
This is a long non-coding RNA of Pezoporus flaviventris, 969 nucleotides long. RefSeq lists it as uncharacterized. NCBI's taxonomy places the organism in Eukaryota, Metazoa, Chordata, Aves, Psittaciformes, Psittacidae. The record is from RefSeq and is a predicted model, not a curated record. The transcript is spliced from 2 exons.